UACGGAGCGGCAGACGGGAGAGUAACACGUGGGAACGUGCCUUUUGGUUCGGAACAACUGAGGGAAACUUCAGCUAAUACCGGAUAAGCCCUUACGGGGAAAGAUUUAUCGCCAAAAGAUCGGCCCGCGUCUGAUUAGCUAGUUGGUGGGGUAAUGGCCCACCAAGGCGACGAUCAGUAGCUGGUCUGAGAGGAUGAUCAGCCUCACUGGGACUGAGACACGGCCCAGACUCCUACGGGAGGCAGCAGUGGGGAAUAUUGGACAAUGGGCGCAAGCCUGAUCCAGCCAUGCCGCGUGGGUGAUGAAGGCCUUAGGGUUGUAAAGCCCUUUCGGCGGGGAAGAUAAUGACGGUACCCGCAGAAGAAGCCCCGGCUAACUUCGUGCCAGCAGCCGCGGUAAUACGAAGGGGGCUAGCGUUGCUCGGAAUCACUGGGCGUAAAGCGCACGUAGGCGGCUUUCUAAGUCAGGGGUGAAAUCCUGGAGCUCAACUCCAGAACUGCCUUUGAUACUGGGAAGCUUGAGUUCGGGAGAGGUGAGUGGAACUGCGAGUGUAGAGGUGAAAUUCGUAGAUAUUCGCAAGAACACCAGUGGCGAAGGCGGCUCACUGGCCCGAUACUGACGCUGAGGUGCGAAAGCGU
Molecule: ribosomal RNA, 638 nt
Filed under: uncultured Xanthobacteraceae bacterium
Lineage: Bacteria; Pseudomonadati; Pseudomonadota; Alphaproteobacteria; Hyphomicrobiales; Xanthobacteraceae
Description: bacterial SSU rRNA
Rfam family: Bacterial small subunit ribosomal RNA
Source: RNAcentral